Molecule: long non-coding RNA, 20908 nt
Filed under: Phaseolus vulgaris (common bean)
Lineage: Eukaryota; Viridiplantae; Streptophyta; Magnoliopsida; Fabales; Fabaceae
Description: long non-coding RNA (PVUL_LNC004016)
Rfam family: tRNA (bases 11220-11291)
Source: RNAcentral
AGUGGGAAAAGGCCUAAGCAAUUCAUUCCUCCUCUCUGUGCUGGGAGUUUUUUGAGAGUUGCUCAUGUGAUAGCUAAUAUUCAAAACGUUUGUGUCCCUUACUUAAUGUAUGCCCUUCUUCCUCUUCCUCUGUUCUCCUAUUUUGUUUCUUCUGUGUACUUCAUUUAUAAUUUUUUACAUUAUCAAUUAAAAAAACUGUACUCUGUAUGCCCUACCAAUGUAUCUCUUGAUGUCAUAUAAAAAAGAUACCAUACGUUAGUGUAUGGAUUGUUAGGAAUCUCUGGAUCAAGUCGCCAGUCACAUGCAUUUUAGUACUUAGUUCUCGUAAUUCCAAAAUGACUCCUGCAAAUUUGGACAGCGGAAAAAUUGUAGGCUAGCGUGCAUUGAAUACACAAAACUAAAACUAAAGUGUUUAAACAUCCAAUAAAUUCGAAGAAGUUUUUUUUUUAUAUUUUUAUAAUAUUGCACACUUCCCUACACUGUCACCUUACAUUCUUUUGUUUAAACAAUUCAAUUAAUCUUUACUCUAAUUAGAAUUUCUCAAGUAGAUUCCACAAUAUAAAUAUUGAAAUAUUCUAAUAUUAUAUAUGUUACUCGUGCAACAAUUCAUUUAAAUUGGGCCCUAUCAUGUAAGAGUAGAGGGGACAUAUAUGGUUGGCUUUCCUUACACCAGAUAGACUUGGGAUAAGGAAAAUUGCAACAGUUUUUGCAGAGACUAUCUUUAGAAACGCUGAAAGCCUAAUCUCCAUGGAUCUGGGCUUCCAGGACAGCUUUUACCCAUUGAACUCAGUUUUUGAAUGCCAAAAUCACGUUGCUAUGUUGUGCUUAGGAGGAAGACAAUUGUGGACUAUAUUGCUGGAGAAUUGAGUAAAAAACUCCAUUCAGUUUGUCUUUAUUGCAAAUGCAGACGUAGUCUGUUGCAGGCAGUAAGAAAAGGCAAUUUUCCAGAUUCGCAUGGAAGGGCAAUUAGCAUCCAUAACACAAUCUUUAUUGCAGCCUCAACUGUCUGUAAAGGUAGUGGUUCUUUGGUUUCAGACGAGUCUAAGAUGUUUUCGGAGGAAAGAAUCCUUGAAGCCAAAAGUUGUCAAAUGCAAAAGAUGUCUGACAGCUUCCGAGGAUGAGGAUGCCAAAACAAUUGGUUCUACCUAGAAAAGGUUUUUACGAACCAUCAUCUCUGAACAAAAGAAAGCAGACUGAGAUUAGUGAGUCCAAGGAGGGAACAAGCAAGAUGCACAGACAGGACAGUGAGCCAUCUCGAUCCUAUCUCGAUCUAAACAAGCCUGUAGAGGAGGGUGAUGAGGGUGUCAAUGACAAUGACCAAGAAAGUGAAUCCAUAACAGAAAACAAAGAAACCUGGGUUAAGUGACUUCUAUGACCAAAUUGGUGAGAAAGUAGCAUUCAACUUUGACGAGCUUGCUGAAAAGUAUUAAAAGGCAUUCGGUUCAGAGCUUCAGCUGGAAAUUGAUAAUGAGGUAAUGACAGGCAUACUUGCAGCUGCUUGGUUAUCAGACAAGAAAAAUGCAGUGGAGAAUUGGGUUGACCAUGUUUUUGGCAGAUGCUUCGUCGAAGCUCAACGGACGUACCAUCCUGUAUAUCAGAAUGUUGUGAAACUGGUGAACUUUGAAUCUAUUUUUUGAGGAAGAGCAAGCUCCUGGUGUAUGCCUUCCUGGAAGAGCAAGCUCCUGGUGUAUGCCUUCCAGCUAGAAUUAACCUGGACUAAAUUUUUGCUCACUUUCUAUUACUGUAAUCAGUUGUAAAAUGUAGGUGUCAGGAUAAUUUGGUAGGUGGUAGCCAGUGUUCAACUAAUUGAUCUCACAAUUUUUGUCUUCUUAAUCAUUGUGCUGUAAUUUCUAUGGCAAAUGCAUGUUUUUGUCUUCUUAAUCAUUGUGCUGUAAUUUCAAUGGCAAAUGCAUGUGUAAUUUUCUGUAGUGUACCUACUUAAAAGUCCAAUAAUAAUAGUGUUCUUGUCGAUUGACUCAGCCGCCGUUGACUUUAAAGGCAGAUGGUGGCUCCUCCUAUUUCCUGGUGGUUUCUGCUCUCUUCUUGGGUGGUUGAGAGUGGCUCCGUUGAAGCAGAGGGGACACUACAUGUUGAUUGCACUCCGACGAUCAAGUCAGUAUUGGACUAAGAAACAGUAAGUAUGUAAAGCAAUUUCAGUCUUAGAAACGACGUACCUUUCUAGGGUUCUUACCACCCUUUAUAUAGGUUGUAUCUAGGUCAACUCCUUGUCCCACGAUGAUCUUUUCUUAAGUGGAAUUAGGGUUACUGGUGAGGCAUUCUGUGACGCAUUGCACAAGCUUAGCGCAACCGCCGCACAGGACUUGUCUCUUCUGGAGUGCAUAAUCUUAACAGUAUGACCGCUAGGGUACCAACUCAUGCACCAACAUUGCGGGGUCAUCUGUUCUGUGAGUGCCCUAAGUAUUCACGUGCCAUGCAUGUUGUCUAUCCUUGGAAACCCUAACUCUUACGUGCCUUAGCGCCUCCAAGGAUCAUUUACUUGUGCUAGACCUGAAUGUACUAUACACAUCUCAUGCACGAAUCUUUCGUGAUUUAGGUCUUUCUGAUAUCUGGGUGUUAACUCAUUAUUAUUUCUGGGGCACACCUACGUGGCCCAUUAAUGCGAUCAGACCACCAAUGUCUGAUGUCAACGUUUGACGUCGAUGUCUGACAUCGAUGUUCGAGGUCUGGCCAGUACAAAUAGUUUGCAAACUGUUCUAAAAAAAAUUGGGUCCAAUCAAUUAUCUCUCAAUAAAUUUUUCUAUCUACUUUGUCACUUCAUGUCUAUAUAAUUUAAUAUUUAUUUGAUUCAUAUUAACUCAAUCUUCUUAUAUAUUGGUUAACGGGUGGAUGCUUUUUCCAUUUUAAUAGCACUAAUUAUUACUUGGGGGCCUUCAACAUCACCAACUACUUUGUUUAAGAAUCACAUAAAUUUGAAAUCGUAAACUACAACUUUCAUGUUUGACAAAUACAAAAGCAAGAUCCUUUAUGAAUUAAGAAAUACAUUGAAGCUUUUGUCCAUGGUACUUUGAUGGUUGGUUUCAUAAUGUCGUUGCACCUACUUUUCGUACCACUUGUAUCUUUGUAUUUUUUUAGGUAAAAUUAAAAGGAGUAAUUGUUUUUAUGAGGUUAUUUACAAGAAAAAUUAAGUUACCAAUUCUACAAAUUUUAACAAAAGAUUAGUACACUCAAUUCACCAUUAAUAUGAAUAUUCUUCUCAUGUUAAUCAAAAUAGAAAAGAUAAAUAAUUCUUCUCAAAUCAAUUAUAAUAAAAUCAAUUACAAUAUAAUAAUUAAGUUAUUCAUAUUUUUUUUUCUCUAAGAGAGGAAUGCUUUGUUUAUUGUCUUAUAAAAAUGUCCAUAAUCUUUUAAUAUUAAAAAACUAUAAAUAUGUUAAAUUUUAUAUUAAACCGUCUACCAAAUUGAAUAAUCUAGGAUGUUGAAUUUUCUGAGUCUAGCAAGUUGAACUAUUUAAUAUGUUGGAGUUUUUAGCAUGAUAAAUUAUCUAACGGAAUAGAUCCUUCGACUUGUUGGGUUUGGGUGUGUGUUUCUUUCUUUUUCUUAAUCCUUCCUUUAACUUUAUUUCAAAAGAGAACAGAGAUAAACAAAAGAGUAAACUGAAGACAAAAGAUGUGAGAAUGAAUAUCUCUUAUUUCUUGUUAUUCAAAUCAAAACAAAUGGUCUGAAUAUAUACAAGUAGUACACUCAUUCUAGGUUUAACUGAAGAGGAAAAUAAUCAAUAAUUAAAUAUAUUAAAUACUAGAAUCAUAACAAGACAAAAUAAAGGUUAUUCACCUCUAUAAAGAGAAACAACUGAUAAUUAGAAAAGACACCCAAUUAAUAUUAGGAUCCUUCUAUAACUCUGGUAUCCGUAUUCUUUAAUACCCCGCCACAAGCUGGGGAGCAAAUAUUGACGAGACCCAGCUUGGAACAAAUAUUCUUAAAAGAUUGAGGAUUUAAAGCUUUGGUAUAAAUAUCAGCCAGUUGCUCUGUGGUGGAAAUGGGAAGCAACUGGAUGAGACCCUUCUUUAAUUUUUCCCGGACCACGUGACAAUCUAUUUCUAUAUGUUUUGUACGCUCGUGAAACACUGAAUUUGCUGCAAUGUAUCUUGUUGAGUCAUUGUCACAGUAUAAAAGAGAUGGUUGCUCAAAAGGAAGUUUGAAAUCUUGAAGAAGAUAAGUUAGCCAUUGAAUUUCACAUGUAACAGUGGCCAUUGCCUUGUAUUCAACUUCACAAGAACUCUUUGAUACUGUUCCUUGCUUCUUUGAUUUCCAAGAUAUGAGAGAAUUCCCAAGAUACACACUAAAACCAGUCACUGAUUGUCUUGAAUCACUACAGGUGCCCCAAUCACUAUCACAAAAGGCUUUCAGAUGAACAGAGGCAGUGAAAGAGAAAAAUAGACUAAGACUUGGAGCCCCUUUGAUAUAUUUGAGAAUUCUAAUCGCUGCAUUAUAGUGAGCAAUUGUAGUCUUAACAAGAAAUUGAGAAAGUUGUUGCACAUAAAAUGUUAUGUCAGGUCGAGUAUUAAUGAGAUACAUAAGUCUUCCAAUCAAUCUUUUGUAGGCUUGAAUAUCUGUGAAAAGAACACUUCCAGUAGAAGAGAAUUUCUCAUGAUUAUCAAUAGGAGUGGGUGCAGGAUAAAAGACAUGCAUCUGUUAAUAAUUCCAAUGCAUAUUUCCUUUGAUUUACCAUUAUUCCUGUCUUACUUCUUGCUACUUCUAGACCGAAAAUAUCUUAAAUUCCCAAGAUCUUUAAUCUUGAAUGUCUGAUUCAAGGCUUGUUUGAUUCGAGCAAUCUCUUCUUUAUCAUUUCCUGUCAAUAUUAUAUCAUCCACAUAUACCAAUAAUGUUGUAAAAGAUCCUUAAGAAGAAUUUUUUGAACAAGGAAUGAUCAUUCAUAGAUUGAGUAUAUCCCAUAGAAAGCAAAAAUGAUGACAGUUUGGCAAACCAUUCUCUGCUAGCUUGCUUAAGACCAUAUAAAGCCUUUUUUAGUUUACAAACUUUUUCUGGUGGAAUAGAAGUCAAUCUAGGAGGAACAACCAUGUAUACAUCUUCUUUCAAAUCUCCAUGUAAAAAGGCAUUGUUUAUGUCUAAUUGUUUCAAUUCCCAAUUAUAAAUAGAAGUUAAAGAAAGAAGCAACCUUAUGGUGGUCAUCUUUGCUACUGGAGAGAAAGUAUCAAGGUAGUCAAUGCCUUCUGUUUGUGUAUAUCUCUUUGCCACUAACCUUGUUUUAUACCUUUCAAUUGUCCCAUCAGCCUUAUAUUUUAUUUUGAAUACCCAUUUGCAACCUAUGGCAGCUUUGUUCUUAGGCAGAAGAGAAGUCUCCCAAGUUUGAUUUGACUCUAAAGCAGAUAUCUCACAUUGUAUAGCUUCUCUCCAGCAGUCAUGUUUCACAGCUUCAAAAUAAGUGUUUGGCUCAACAUGUGAAGAAAGAGACAUAAUAAAAGAUUUGUAAGAAGGUGAUAAAUUGCUAUAAGACAAAAUAAAAUUCAAAGGAUAUUUAACUCUUGAAGAUGUACUGGAAACGUUAAGAUUACAAUGAUAAUCCUUUAAAUACUCAGGUGAUCUUUUUAUUCUUGUGCUCAUUCGGACAGAUGGAUCUGAUUCAGAACUUUGUUCUAUAUCAUGAUUUUCAUUGAGGUUUUGGUCUAUAUGGGAACAAUCUACGUCUGAAACCUCAAUUUGUGACUCACAAUUAUUAUCACUGCUAUUUUCAACAUUAUCACAAGGUGUAUUAUCACAAGGUGCAAGAAUGACUUGUGAUGGCUGACUUAAGACAAAUUGAUCUUCAACAAACAAAAUUUGAUCAUCAAUAUCGGGACUGUUAGUUUCAUUACUAGUAUCUUGAACCCUUUGGUAUGGAAAAACAUGUUCAUAAAAGACAACAUCCCUAGACACAAAAAUUUCUCUUGAUUGAAUAUUCAACAAAAUAUAUCCUUUUGUCCACCUUGGACAACCAAUAAAAACACAUUUUGAUGCUCUUGGAUCAAAUUUUCUUCUAUUUGUUGACAAAGUGCUAGCAUAACAUAAAGAACCAAACACCUUUAAUACAUUAAAAUUUGCAUCAGUUUUGAAAAGCAUUUCAUGAGGGGAAGAAUAGUUUAAAACAGGUGUGGGAAGCAUGUUUAUAAUAUGCGCAACAUGUAUCACAAAAUAUGACCAAUAAAUUUUGGGUAAAUGAGAUUGUAUCAUAAGAGCUCUUGCUACAUCUAAUAAAUGACCAUGUUUCCUUUAAUUAUACUAUUUUGUUGUGGAGUAUUGACACAUGAUGUUUGAUGUAUUAUUCCUUUACUGACAAAAAAAUUAGUCAUGACAAACUCAGUUUCAUUAUCACUUCUUAUUAUUUUUAUCGUUGUCUCAAACUGUGUUUGAACAAAAAUAACAAAAUGUUCCAAAACCUUAACAACUUCAGAUUUUUGUUUCAAAAGAAAAAUCCAUGUGUACCUCGAAUAGUCAUCAACUAUGGUCAAGAAAUAUUUAUGGCCAUGAAUUGAUGGUAUUGAGUAUGGUCCCCAAAUAUCUACAUGAAUCAAAUCAAAACAUUUUUUCGAUUUUGAUGUACUAAUAGGAAAAGAAAGUCUUUUUUGCUUUGCAAAAUGACAAACAUCACAAACAAAAGAUUUGUUAUAUUUAACAAAAGGAAAUUUAUUCUUGAUAACAUCAAUACAUUUAUUUGGAAUAUGACCUAAUCCAAAAAGCCAAAGGGUUUCUAGAUCACUAGCACUGACAUUAACAGUAUUGAUGAUGUGUGUAGAUUCAAGGGGUUUAAUUUGNNNNNNNNNNNNNNNNNNNNNNNNNNNNNNNNNNNNNNNNNNNNNNNNNNNNNNNNNNNNNNNNNNNNNNNNNNNNNNNNNNNNNNNNNNNNNNNNNNNNUUUCAAGGAGUUUUUGUCUUGAAUGUGACAACCAUUAGAAUCAAAGGUAAGAGCACAAGAUAGUCUAUCAACCAAUUUUGUUACUGAAAGAAGAUUAAAAGUGAAGCAAGGAAUAUACAAAACAUUGUUUAUGACAUGAUUUUGAUUGAGAAAAACACUUCCAGAAUAAUUGGCAAUGACUUGAUUUCCAUUUGGUAAUUUGACAUAAAUAGGAUCAAUUUGAUGAUACGAAGUGAAGUAAGUUAAGGAUGAACAAAUGUGAUCAGUAGCACCACUAUCAAUAAUCCAAGAACUAAAAGAAGAAAUAGAGUUAUUACCAGUUUGUGUUGUCAUGUUGGAAGAAAUAACAAAGACUUGACUAGAAACAUUCUCACUGGAUUUGACCUGUUGUAAAAGAGCUAACAAUGUUUGAUACUGCUAAGGAGUAAAACCAAUUUGUUGAGACUCCACUUCUGACUUUGAACCUUCAUGAUUCUGCUCAUUAUUGUUAAAAUUUGUAUUGUGAAAGGCUGCAUGACUUUGAUGAUGGUUCUUAUUUUUAAAUUUGAAAUAAGGUGGAAAACCACGCUUUUUAUAGCAUGUAUCAAUGGUAUGCCCUGUCUUUCCACAAUAACUACAAAUUUUGGAAGUAUAUCUUCUUCCAUAGCUUCCUCUUCCAUAUCCACCACCCAUGCCAUAGAUCGUAGCAUUGUUAUUAUAACCUCCUUUGCUAGUAGCAAUCAUUGGCUUGGACAAACUAACAUGGUAAGGUGAACAAAUAUCUUGUGAGGGAUCAACAACUUCACCCAUAGAUAAAUGUAGCAACCAAAGCUCUAAUCAGAGCUCUGAUACCAUGUUAAGAAGUGGACUUUAAGCCUAACUCAACCCCAUAAAACCGACUCAUAGGGUUGAGGUUUGCACCCACUUAUAUACAAUGAAAGGCUCUAAUCUCUAGUCGAUGUGAGAUCUCCAACAAACUUAUUUAUUUCAUCUUUGCAUCUAAUUAGAUAUGCUCUAAGAAUGUAGUCUCUUUGUACUUUCAGUAUUCAUCAUCUUUUCUUAUAUUUUUCUUCGUCAUUUUUCCUUUUGUGUGCAUCAUGUCUCAUUAUGAUAUCAAAGCGGGCUAAUAUUGCUUUGCUCCUCUAUGCUUUUAAUAUAUUUCUUCCUCUAUUUCUUAUAAUUUUGUUUUUCCUUUUUGCUCUUUUCUCCACGAACAUCAACGACAUGGAUGUGUCACAUAAUCCAUCAAGUUCAUUCUAUUUACACCCUAGAGAAAACCCUAGCAUGAUUCUUGUUACUCCAUAAUUAAAUGGACAAACUACUCUCUUAGAGUAAAAGAUUGAAAUGCACAUUGUUAUCCAAGAAUAAGGUAAAAAUCAUCAAAGGAAGAUAUUACUCAACCAACUUGCAAAGAUCUAAUUUUUUUUAUGCUUGGGAACAUUGUAAUAUGAUGAUAAUCUCUUUAAUUACACGAACUUUAUCUCCACAGACUAGACAAAACACGAUUUACAUUGAUAGUGCCCAAGAACUUUGGGAAGAAUUGAGAUAAAGAUUUUCAUCUAGAAGCAGAUCAAAUAAUUAGUGCACUAUGGAAGAAAAUGAUCUUCAACACAACCAAUACAAGAACAAAAAGAAUAAUGUUCAAGCUUCCUUUACUAAUGAGCAAAUACAACAACUCCUAAGAGUUCUCCAAACUUCUGAAAAUGAAAUUAAUCAGAUUAAUAUUGUUUGUGUUUCUUUCUCACCUCAAAAUGACAAAGGUAAAUUUUUAUUCUUGGAUUCUUGACAUAGGUGCCACAAAUCAUGUUACACAUAUGGAAAAAUGUCUUUGUUAACUUUCCUAGGAUCAAACUUAUAUUUGUGAAACUUCCAAAUAAUAACUAUGUUGUUGUCAAUAAUGCAAGGACAAUGUAAUUUAAAAAACAACUUGUUCUCUAUAAUGUUAUCUUCAUGCAAAAUUUACCUUGACUAUUAUCUUUGUUAAAAAAUUAUAAAUACUUUUGAAUUAUUAGAUCUUAUUUUCAUGAAUUACUUGCCAGAUACAAGAUAUGACUACUUUGAGAAUUAUUGGACAAGUUGAUCUUCUAGACAGUCUAUAUCAAAUCACUAGAUAGUUUAACAUGAACAAACAUAUUUAGGUAAAUAAUAGUGAAAACUACAAUACUAAGAACAUGGACAUAUGACACUGCAAAUUAGGUCAUCCUUCAAAUAAGGUUCUUAAACAUAUUUGUAAAUAUUUUUUCUAAUGAAAUUUACUAUGAUGAUAAAAGAGUUUAUGAUUCUUGCUACUUGCUCAACAACAUAGACUACCAUUUCCUUUGAGUAAAUCUUCAUCUUUUGGAUAUGUUUGAUCUUAUGCACAUUGACAUAUGAGGUCUUUUUAGCGUUGCAUGACAUAUGAGGUCUUUUUAGCGUUGCAUCAAUGCAUGCCAUAGAUAUUUCUUCACUGUUGUUGAUGAUUUUACAAGACACAUAUGUUGUGUUUCACAUUUUUUAUCUAAUUAAUUUUUCACCUUCAUCCGUCAUUGGUUAUAAAAGUCCAUAUGAAGUUCUUUAUCAACAACAUCAUGAUCCCCUUAGUUUAAAUUUUUUUUUUUUUGUAUUUGUGUUGCUUCUACUUUACAAAUUAACAUAAAUAAAUUAGAUCCUAGAGUACAAAGAUGUAUCUUUCUUGGAUAUAAAAAAUGGAACUAAAGGUUAUGUUGUCAUCGAUACGAACACUAGAGAAAUAAUAAUAAUAGUCUCUUUGUGCUUUCGUUGUUAAUCGUCUUUCUUAUCUUUUUCUUCAUCUUCUUCCUUUUGCGCCUACCAUGUAUGCAUUGUUGGAAAUCACACAUCAACUAAAGAUAAGGUCAAUUUAUAGAAUAUAAAUGGGACGAUCCUCACCUUACAAGCCGAUUUUGUGAGAAUGAGUUAGACUUAAACUUACUUCUUAAUAUGCACAUCCAAGGAAAGAGAAGGAGCCAAAAUAAUCGUGCAUUUGAAGGAAAACUCUUCUCUUCUAGUGAUGUCUUUGUAAAAUCAACUUAUGAUACUUUAUUUCUUUUUUAAUUAUGGAGGUAAGACAAGCCUGGUAUAACCCAUAUAUUUUUUAAAUUUAAAAGUUCAAAAUGAUUUUUUUUUUCUUCUUUAGUACGUAUAUUAAAAACUUAAUGGAACCUUUUUUUUAAAAUAAAAUAAAGUGAAACUUUUAAAAUUACGAAGAGAAAACUAUGUAUACUAAGUAUGCUAUGGAAAAAUAGAGUGUAAUUUAUUUUUUAAUUACUCAUACCUAUAUCUAUAAUUUUAUGCAAACAUAAUUAUUCAAAACUUUACACAACUAUAAACAAAUAUCGACACUGAUAAUCAUCAAUACAAAAUUGAUAAAUAUAUUACGAAAGUAGACUUUAAGCCUAACUCAACCCCAUAAAACCGACUCAUAGGGUUGAGGUUUGCACCCAUUUAUAUAUUAUGAAAUGUCCUUAUCUCUAGUCGAUGUGGGAUCUCCAACAAAAUAUUCUAUAAGCAUCCCCUCUCACUCUUUUUUUUUUCUAAAAAAUUUUUUUGUCAUCAUUUUGUGUUUUAACUUUUUUCAUAACAAAUAUUAUAUUUGUAAUUAUUUUAUGGUUUGUAGAAGAAAUAAAUGUUCUUAUUUUGUGAACAUUUCAUGAAGGAGAACUUUGAUUUGAGGUUUGGGAUUGAGCAAUUCAUUCUCGUGCUAUGUCUUGUGAGUUUAGUUUUUAAGCUUGUUAUCUUGGUAUGAGUUCUAAACAUUUCAUAUGUCUUACUCUCUGCGUUUCUCUACUCCUAUUUUGUUUCUUCUAUGCACUUUUUACAUGUGUUUAGAACUUAUGUUGUAUACAUAUGAGAUCGUCUCGGAUUCAAGCGAUCAAGAUGAUAUGGUUUAUAAGAUUGGGGUGACCUAGAAUAUAUUGUUGAAUACAUAUAGGAAAACUAAUGUGAUGAGUAAUUAAGCACGAUGUCAAUCCUUAAUAAAAAAUCAUUAAUAAUUCUUACGGUUAUAUUAAUUUGAGGUUAAGAACUCCUUUUGUACGGAUCCAAGUCCAAUCGUGCAAAGUCUAUUAUAAUUCUAUAAAUACAUUGACAUUGAACAAGUAAACCCAUUCAAUAGUAUUCAUUACUCAUAAAUACUCAACGAACUUACAAACCAAUAAUUCCAGUAAAGAAUUUUUUCUUUAUUUGAACAUUACUCUUUUUUUUUCUUAUUAUGACUUGAAUGAAAAAAUUUCGAAAUAGAAAUGAUUAAUAAUUUUUUUUGUGAAAUUCUGAAAGAGCGAACAAUCUUUUUUUUAUCGAAUCAUAUCAUUAUAUUGAUGAUUGCGAAAAACUGUUCAUACUAUGAACGUAGUAUAAUGGCGGUCGGGCAACUAUGUCUCCAUCAUCUAGUGGUUCAGGAUAUCUCUCUUUCAAGGAGACAACGGAGAUUCGACUUCUCCUAAGAUAGGGUGUUACAAAAGGAAUUUGAUCAAGAAUUUUCAAUCAAAACUAAAAAGUAGUCUUAAGUAAGAAUAUUUUUUAGACAUAUCUCCUCAUACUUGAGACGUUACAAGUUUUUGAAUGACAACACUUUAAAAUCUGCUUAACACUACAACUAGUGUUAACUACACAUGGAAGGAGAAGAUAUACCCUAUCCAUAUAAAAACAAAAGUUAUAACACGUAAAUGAGUCUAUCAUUUACAUAAAAUGGAAGAAGAAAUAUAGGAUAUAUUGCACCAAAAUAUAAACACGUACAUGGUAUAAAAUGGGACCUCAUGAAAGAAUACUAUUAACAUACUGCUAGUGAAAAAAAUUCAAAGACACUUUUUCCCCAUUAUCUUGUCAUAUUUUCCCAUUUUUCCUUCAUCAUCAAUGACAAAGACCAUUUAUUGGAUGUAGUUGUUGGACAUGGUAUUUUAUAUUGUCAAGUGUGAAUCUCAAUUGAUAAGAGGCAUUUUCAAUUUAAGUUUUAUGGAUUUGUUUUGUAUUUCAGUUUAUUAAUUCAUCCCUAAAGCUCCAUCAGAGACAUUUCAUCAACAUGUAAUGCACCGUACAUUUGAAAAAUAGAUGAAUGUUUGUGUAAUAUGUUGAAAAUAAUAAAGGAGAUUUUUAGAAUUCAGAUAGUAGAAUUGAUAUAUAUGGGAUAGAGGGCUUGGGCUUAAUAGAGUGGUAGUACUGUGCUUUAAAAAAAUUAAUUUUAAUAUAUAAAUCAUUAUCUAUAUUUAUAUUUAUAUAUAAAGAGGGUUUCUCUUCGUAAGAGUCUUUUGGUGUACAUAGUUCUACCCUUAAUAUUUCAUUUUAUUAUUAGAAAGUAUUUUUUCAUUUUAUAUAUGAAUUAUUUAAAAAAUAAAAUUAUUUUUUAAUUUAAAUAUUUUUUUUAAAAUUAAUGUUAAGGGCAGUUUUUAUAUGCAAAUUAACUCUCUUAAUUCUUUAUUUUAAUACAACAACAGAAAAGGAAAGAAAAAAUAAUCUCACCCUCAUUCGUUUCUCACACCAAAUCUCACUAUCAAAUAAAAUAAUCUACAUUUUCAAUAACUAUCUCCACUCCAUUUCAAGCAAAACAACUCUAUUUUUUUGGUAAAGUCAUAAUUCUUUUGUAUUUACCAUCAAGUGAAUCCUAGUCUUACGUGAACAUCAUGAUACUCUCCAAUCCCAAAACCACCAAUAAAAGAAGAAAAAAAAUUUGAAGAAAAAAAGAAAACCAGACUAGAGAAGAAAAAAGAGAUUGAUUAAUUAAUUCAUCAUUUUUCUUUUACAUGUUAUUUUUUUCCUUUUCAAUUUCAACUCAUCUAAAAUUUAUAUAUAUAUAAAAAAAAAAAUUCUUAUAAUCACAAAAAUUGAGUAGAAGAAGAAAACACAGAUAAAAUAAUUAUGUAAAAUUCUCACACCAUUUGCUGGUUUGGUUUAAUUUUUUAUAAAAUAAUUAUGUAAAAUAAAUAUAAAAAUAAAUACUAUUUAGUUUUAAUUUAAUAUAAAAUCUGAAUAAAAAUAAAGAAAUAUUUCACUGUUUAGUCUGGGUCAAUUUUUAUGAUUUUUAUUACUGCAUAACACUUUUAAAACAUUUAUUUAUAAAAAAAAUUGUUAAAUAUUUCUUAAUGAAAAUCCGCCCAUUAAAAAUAUAUGUUAUGAAUGUUUCAUAUUAUUGUUAUAUUUAUAAUUUUAAUUUGUCUUAUAUUUAUAAUUAAAUUAUAUAGUUUAAAAACAGAACUUUUAUUAUUAGAAUUGUAAGCAAACUAAAAGUUUGAAAUGAUUUUAGUUAUUAAUUAAUUUUAAGUAUAUAACAUUAUAUUUAAAUUCAAUAAACGAUUUAAUAUGAAUUUUAUUUUCAAUCUGAAAUGAAACCAAAUUUUUAAUAUGAUUCUUACUAAUAAGACAAUAAAAACAGUACCUUAUAAGUAUGGGAGGAACUUGAGAGAGGAGGAACAGAGUCAUGUGAGUGGCAAUAAAAUCCACCGCAGAUUCUGUUGGGUGUCACAUUUUUUGUUCAUGUUGGUUGGUUAGUGAUGGAGACACAAUAGGAGGGAGAUCAACGGUGGCCAUUUGGACACGUGUCAGUGUGAGAUUCACGAUCAGGAUCAGAUACCAUUUUUGCCCACUUCAUCAUGGUAUGAUAGUUACUCUUUUUUAUGCUACUUUUAUACUUUCAUUUCCGAAUCUCCAUCAACUUCAACAAAUACCGUUUUAAAUGUUACAUAUUCAAAUAAAAUAAAAAUCAUAUUCUAAUUAUAAAUUGUAAAUUUAAUUAAUCAUAAAUGUAUGAUCAAUAUCCUUACCUAUAUACAGGUUUCAUUAUAACUUGUAUAUUUUAUUAUUUUAUUUUAAAUAUUUCAGUCAUUUCCUAUUUUUAAGUUUUUAUUAAAUAAUUAAUUUUUAUAAUUAAUUGAAAACUGCUUCUCUAUUUUUAUUAUUAAAUUUUAAAAUUAAUAUACUAUCAUUUUGUAUAAAACAUUUAUCAAUUUUAAAUUUUAAAUAUGGAGUAUCAAACAUAGAACGAAAAAAUUAAAGGUCAAACAAUUCUUACAACGUGAAACAAGUUUUUUUUAUAUCUUCAUCUCUCUUAAAAUUAUAAUUUUUAUUUUUUCUUAACAUUUGGUUUAGUUUAGUUGUUAUCUCUUUUAUCAUUUGAUUUAGUUGUUAUACUUUCUUAUUAUUUAUUUUUUUUCUUUAAAAAAAAUAUGAAUUUAAAUAUUAAACAUAAAUAUAUAUAAAUAAUAAAAAUAAAAAAUGCAGAUACAUAAGAUAUGUUAAUUAUAAUAAUAAUUAUUUUAAAAAAAAUUAAUAAUGUGUAUACAAAUAAUUAACACGCCCAAAUUAAAGGUGGUAGAUAGUUAAACAUAAUUAAGCAAAUUUACAACUCUGUUAGUUAAAAACUGAAUUAAGAUUUACUGCUAAAUUAUUUUAUAUAACAUUUCUCACGUAAAUAUUAUUAGUUUAAUUGUGUGAAAUAAUUUAGUACUCGCGAUUAAAUUUAAUAUAUGUUUAUUACUGAUUUAAUUUGAGAUAUAUGUGUAAUAUAUGUAGGUUGGUUUUAUAUUUAAGUGGAACAUUAUAUUUUUUAUUUAAAUUGAGGUGGAGUAUGUGAAAAAUUAGUAAAUUAAAUUGAUAUGAUGUUGUUAACUAGAUUGUUGAAAAACUUAGCCGAAUUUAUAUAUUAUGGAGUAAAUUGUGAAAUUUGAGUAAGUUUUUACUUUUUAAGUGUGUUUGAAAGGGGAGCAUAUGAAAAUUUUAUAUUAAGUUAGGUUAGAUAUGUAAAAAUUGAUUUAAUAAUAGCUUAAAUUAAAAAAUUAAUUUUAAUCACUACAAGAAAAUAAUUAAAUAGAAAUUAAUUUUAGAAAAAAAAAAUAGUUGCUAUAUUGACUAAAUUAAAAACCAUUUUAGAGACUAAAAUUUUUUUGGUUUCUAAAUUAGUUUCUAUUAUUGUUAAAUAAUUUUUAAAUUGGUAUAUAAUUAGCUACAAAGAUUUUAACAACUCAUUAUUUAGAUUUUAAAUUUAGUAGCAAAACCUUGGUAGCUAAUUAGAUAUAAAUUUAGAACUAUCUAAAAUAAUAGAAACUAAUUUAAAAAUCAAAAACUUUUUUAGUUUUUAAAAUAUCCCUAAUUUAGUUAAUAUAAAAAUUAAUUAUUUUUUGUCUCAAUAAAAAUGAAUUAAAUAAUUAAAUUAUGAUUAAUUAGUCAUCCAUGUGCAUUUAUACUAUAGUAAUCAACUGAUAUUUUGGGACCAGAAUAAUUUUGAAAAAAAUUAUUUAUUGAAAUAUGAUUGAUUACUUGGUCAUAAAAUAUAAGUUGUUUUAUUGCACUCAUAUAACCAUCUGAUUGAAUUAUUUAACCUAAAUGUGAAAAUUAUAUUAUUUUUUAUAUUUUUUUCUUUACUACAAAUAUAGGAAAGGCAUAUAAUAAAUAGUGUAAAAAAAAUUUGUCUUAGCGAAGUAUACAUAAAAAUAUCGAUAAUACAGAUAGUUAAUGGUAUUUCAUAACUAAUUGCUUGAGCAGCUACUCAUAGACCAUCCAAAAAAAUUAUUUAUUAUAUUUUGACAUAAAAAGUCCAAUGGGGACAAUACUUAAAAUAACACUCCAUAAAAAAAACACAAAUAUUCAAAUAAGAUAAAACAAAGUUAUAAAAAAAAGAAUUACUGAAUAACUUAAUGUAAUGGAUAUAACCAAUAUAAAUGGUCUAAAACUAAAUAAACGAAUAUUUUGUCCAGAUAGAAUAAGAUUUUCUUUGAACUUUUACUAAUUGUUUUACAGAAAGAGAAAGAAAGAAAAUCUAGAGCGAGAGAGAAAACCAUGAAGACCACAUAGCGGUGUUGGUGCUUAGAUGCAUAGGUGAAGGUUAUGAUCUCAUGAUUAUCGCGAACGCUUUCGACAAUGAAGAUCACUUCGACUACUUCCAACACCACAUCGUCAAGGAGUUCAUCAUCUUUGUCGAUGGUAUCGUCGCCAAACAACCCCUCAAGGCCAAUGUUAAUUUGUACAACACGAAGGUUCUUUUCCCUUAAAUUUCGGUUCUUAGGGUUUCUUUCUUUUACCCUCUUUGCUCCCUUUGAUAAUAAUAGAAAUCGUAAUUUUUUUGUAUAAAAAAUAAACGUGUUCUUUGAUCUGUGGUGAUUUAUUUUAUUUCUUGGAGGAUUCGAUUUUAUUUUUUGCCGAAUUGUGAAUGAUUGAAAACAUGUUUUUUUUCUUCAGAGUAUAAAGUGUACACAUACAACAGAAAUGGUCCUUGUGUGUUGGGAUUUAUGAAUGAGACAUGAUAAUUAUGCUAAGGAUCUUAUAAUUGUGUGUGUUCUAUUUAUUUGAUUUGUGGAGAUUCUCCACUCUUGUGAUGAUUCAUGGGGAACUAUAGAGGAAGACUCUAACCAAGAUAGAGAAGGAAGAAUUGCUCUUCCUUUUUCUCCCUACAAAGAUUGCUAACAAAACCAAUUAUCGUGUUUUUGAUGUUGAUGAAAGUGGUAAAGUGGUGGUAGCACCUCUCUUCACUGAACAGAGCAAGUGCAAUACAAAUUUAUUUAUAAAAAUAAUUUUAGCAUAUACAUAAAUGUAUGUUUAUUUUUCAAUUAUACUUUCACAAAUACAUGAGUAAGUAAUCGAUAGCUAUUCUUAUAAAAUACGGUUGGAGGAGAAAUGUUGAAAAAACACACCAUCUCAUAAAAAGGUUGAUAAAACAAUUAAUAGAAAUUUAUAAAAUAAUAAAUUAGCUUAAUUUUCAUAAUUAAAUAUUUCUUAACUUAUGUAUAAAAAAUUCAAGCAACCAAACAAUAAGAUCAAAGGAAGCAUGGUAGAUUAAAGGAAAAAAAGUAAUAAAUAAUAUAAUAGGAUAAAAAGAGAAAAAAUUUAGCAAAUAAAUUUAUAAAAUAAAGGAAUAUUUUAUGUUUCUAAAUAAGAUUUUUUACUUUUUAGAAUUUAAAAUUAUUAAAAUGAGCGAUUUUUUUAGUUUUUUUUAUUUUCUUUUAAAUCUCUGUUUAUUCAAAAUUUAUAAACAUUGAUUAAUUAUUGGAUUCGAAAAAGGAGAAAUAAAAGAAACAUGUAAAAAAAUAAAAAUCGAAUCCUCUAGGAAAUAAAAUAAAUAACCUUAGAUCAAAAAACACGUUUAUAUUCUAUACAAAAAAAAAUUACGAUUUUUAUUAUUAUCAAAGAGAGCAAAGAGGGUAAAAGAAAGAAACCCUAAGAAAGGAAAUUUAAGGGAAAAGAACUUUCGUGUUGUACAAAUUAACGUUGGCCUUGAGGGUGCGUUUGGAGACGAUACCAUCGACAAAGAUGAUGAACUCCUUAACGAUGUGGUGUUGGAAGUAGCCGAAAUGAUCUUAAUUGUCAGUUCGUGAGAAUCAUGGGAUCAUAACCUUCACUGCAUCUAAGCACCAACAUUGCUGUGUGAUCUUCAUUGUUUUCUCUCUCUCUAUAUAAAAAAAAUCAGUAAAAUUUCAAAAAGAAUGAAAGAGAAUAACUCAAAAACAAAAAAAUACACAAAAUAUUCAUAUGUGUACUCGCAUAAUAUUGACACGAAAACACACUUAAGGAGAAUGAAGAAGAGAGAAAAAAAAAAGUGCACGAAGAUACGAAAGAAGAAAUUUUGCAAAGAAAAGAACAAAUUUGCAAAGAAAAGAGAGGAGAAAUAACAAACAAAUAAAUAUAAUGAUAAAUAAUAUAUAAUCAUAAAAUAUGUAACAAAGAAGUUGAGUAAAGUGAAGAAGAGAAUGUGCAUACCUAAGAAUAUUAAAAAAAGUUCUUUUUGUUGAAAACAUGAAACUUUCUUCUUCUUCUUCUUCUUUCCUGCAUCAUUACACACAGAUACACUUUUGGAGAAAAUGAUGCACUUCUUAAAUUUAACGUGAACUGAGAAAGUUACAUGUUUAAUGAUGUCGCGAAAAGAUAAUUUUGGAUGACAUAAGUGAUUUUUCUGAACCAUUGAAGAAGAAAUAGAGAAAAAAGGAAUUUGAAGGAAAAUGUUUGGUUGAAUAACUCACUUCUCCCUAAAUAUAAUUUUGAAUUAUGUUGAUAAAAUAUUAGUUUUUAAAAAUAAAAAAGAAAAACAUUUUGAAUUAUGUUUACAAUUACUCCAUAAUUCAUAAUUAAAAAUUUAAUAUUUAAUAUUCAAAAUUAAAAAUUAAAAAUUUAAUAUUCAAAAUUUAAAAUUUAGUUUUAAAAAUAAAUAUGUCACAAAAUAACAAAUAUCUUCUCUCAUAUAUUUUUAAAAUAAUAAAAUAUAAUAUAAAUAUAAAAAUAAAAUAAAAUGACAGUUAAAAAAAAACUUAGUGUAAAUAUAAAUAAGAUUUAUUUAUUUAUAGUACUAUUAUUAAUUAACAUUUAAAGUGAUAAUUAUUAUCAUUAUAUCACGUUAUUGUUAUUAAAUUAUAUAUUGUUGUGAUAUUUAUAUAUAUAUAUAUAUUAGUAUGUGUUGGUAGCACUCUUAGUAUAGUAUAGAGAGAAACAAAUACUUAAAAACAUAUUCUUUUAAGUACAUUCUAAUGAUUGAACUAAAAAAUGUGGAAAAUAAAAAACAUAGACGAUAUACCUCAGUUAAUAAUUUUAUCAUAAUUUUUAAUAAAUUUGAAGUAAUAAAAAAUAGAUUUAAGAAAGCGUGAAAUAUAUGGUGUCUAAGCAGCCAAUAAUGCAAUAUGUUAGUCUUACUAAGGGUAUUUCCGUCAUUAAACUGCACCACCAACCCAUCUUCCCCAUAAAUGGCAACUUAGUGCCUUCAAUUCACCCACCCUCGUUCAUAUUCUCUCAUUCUCUGCUCCUCUAUCAUUCAGGGUACUUUUCUUUUCCUCUCUUCUAAACUUCUCAAUUUGGGAUCUUGCCUUAAGCCUCUUUUUCCUUUGUUCUUUCCUCUACUGGCUUCAUCUCUGUUUCCCCAGAGGGGUUUUUACUCACUAUUUUUACACUGUUAUGCUUCUUUAAUUGCUUCGGAAACGCGUUGCCCUUUCAGAUCUACUCCAUAUCCUACACAAAUGGCCCUUCUCUAAAGAUAGAAUCUGAAAAAAAAUAUCACUUUUGGGGGAUUUUGGUUUAUAAUUAAACUUUCACAUUGUUUUUGCUUAGAUAUGGUUUGCUGAAUACUGGGUUUCUGUUAAUUUUGAAGUUGUACAUGCUUCUACGCAUUGUGUUUUUCUUUAUUACAUGUUUAAUCUAAAACAUUCCUAGUUAAUUCUGUCGGCAACCUAUCUGCUACUAAAUAUAGACACUGUAUUAAAGAGUUGGUUUAUCAUGUACUUCUGCUAGAUCCACUCCCCGCUGGUUAAUUGCUUGUUUGAAUGAUUACAAACAGCACUUUUCUCUUAAAAGCUUUUCCCUUGCUCAAUAUUAUGCUAGUGUUUUGCUCCCUUUUGUGAAUUUGCAUUUAGGUUAUAAUUGUAGGGUUGUUGUGGUGCAGGUUUAAAAGUUUUGAGAUGGCAGAGACAUUUCUGUUCACCUCGGAGUCCGUGAACGAGGGACACCCAGACAAGCUCUGCGACCAAAUAUCGGAUGCUGUUCUUGACGCCUGCCUUGAGCAAGAUCCGGAGAGCAAGGUUGCGUGUGAGACAUGCACCAAAACCAACUUGGUCAUGGUCUUCGGAGAAAUCACCACCAAGGCCGACGUUGACUACGAGAAGAUCGUGCGUGACACCUGCAGGAACAUCGGCUUUAUCUCAAACGAUGUGGGGCUUGAUGCCGACAACUGCAAGGUCCUUGUGAACAUUGAGCAGCAGAGCCCUGAUAUUGCCCAGGGUGUCCAUGGCCACCUCACCAAAAGACCUGAAGAAAUCGGUGCUGGCGACCAGGGUCACAUGUUCGGCUAUGNNNNNNNNNNNNNNNNNNNNNNNNNNNNNNNNNNNNNNNNNNNNNNNNNNNNNNNNNNNNNNNNNNNNNNNNNNNNNNNNNNNNNNNNNNNNNNNNNNNNNNNNNNNNNNNNNNNNNNNNNNNNNNNNNNNNNNNNNNNNNNNNNNNNNNNNNNNNNNNNNNNNNNNNNNNNNNNNNNNNNNNNNNNNNNNNNNNNNNNNNNNNNNNNNNNNNNNNNNNNNNNNNNNNNNNNNNNNNNNNNNNNNNNNNNNNNNNNNNNNNNNNNNNNNNNNNNNNNNNNNNNNNNNNNNNNNNNNNNNNNNNNNNNNNNNNNNNNNNNNNNNNNNNNNNNNNNNNNNNNNNNNNNNNNNNNNNNNNNNNNNNNNNNNNNNNNNNNNNNNNNNNNNNNNNNNNNNNNNNNNNNNNNNNNNNNNNNNNNNNNNNNNNNNNNNNNNNNNNNNNNNNNNNNNNNNNNNNNNGCUUACAUUGUGAGGCAGGCUGCUAAGAGCAUUGUGGCGAGUGAACUGGCGAGGAGAUGCAUUGUGCAAGUGUCUUAUGCUAUUGGUGUGCCUGAGCCUUUGUCGGUUUUCGUUGAUACCUAUGGGACUGGAAAGAUCCCUGACAAGGAGAUCCUGAAGAUUGUGAAGGAAAACUUUGACUUCAGGCCUGGUAUGAUUUCCAUCAACCUUGAUCUGAAGAGGGGUGGGAAUAGCAGGUUCUUGAAGACUGCUGCAUAUGGACACUUCGGCAGAGAGGACCCUGACUUCACAUGGGAAGUGGUCAAGCCCCUCAAGUGGGAAAAGGCCUAAGCAAUUCAUUCCACUGCUCUAUGCUGGUUGUUUUUGAGCGUUGCCCUUGUAGUGUCUAGUAUUCAUAAACUAUUCAUGUCUACUGUUCUGUGUUUCUCUAUGUCUUCAUUUUUAAUUUUUUUUACAUUAUCAGUUAAGGAGCGUAAUCUCCGUUAGUGUGCCCAACCACUGUAUCUCUUGAUAUCCUUACAGUAAAAGAGAGUAUUCAAGUGCAUGAUUUAUGUAUUGCAAUGCUUCUCUCAGUGAAAUCAAAUUCUUGGCUUUCAUAAUUCUAAAAAGUUCGAGCUGCAAAUUUGUUUAGAAGAUAAAUGUUUGGCUAAAACUACUGUUGGUGUCGAGAAGUAAGUUUGAAGCAUGUGUAUAUUUCCCAGAAAUAUGAUAAUAUGAAUCCUCAAGUAUAUCACUUACAGUGACAUGGUUCCUUUGGUUGCUAUUAUUAACCCUGCAGAGACCAUGUUGCAGACUAGGACAGGUUGAUCAAUUAAUGUAUCAGAUUUUCAGUGAAUGGUAAUAGAUGAUUUUUUU